GGGGUUGUGACUCAGCAGUAGAGCGCUCGCCUUGAAUGUGAGAGACCGGGUUCAAUCCUCAGCACCA
RNAcentral lists this transfer RNA (67 nucleotides) under Ictidomys tridecemlineatus (thirteen-lined ground squirrel). RNAcentral describes it as "Spermophilus tridecemlineatus (thirteen-lined ground squirrel) tRNA". It matches the Rfam family "tRNA". From Rfam's summary of the family: Transfer RNA (tRNA) molecules are approximately 80 nucleotides in length. Lineage: Eukaryota; Metazoa; Chordata; Mammalia; Rodentia; Sciuridae. The record is from Rfam by way of RNAcentral.